Molecule: ribosomal RNA, 824 nt
Filed under: Pseudomonas sp.
Lineage: Bacteria; Pseudomonadati; Pseudomonadota; Gammaproteobacteria; Pseudomonadales; Pseudomonadaceae
Description: partial 16S ribosomal RNA
Source: RNAcentral
GUCGAGCGGUARAGAGAAGCUURCUUCUCUUGAGAGCGGSCGGACSGRGGUGAGUAAUGCCUAGGGAUCUGCCUGGUAGUGGGGGAUAACGUUUGGAAACGGACSGCUAAUACYGCAUACGUCCUWCGGGAGAAAARCAGGGGRCCUUCGGGCCUUGCGSUAUCAGAUGAGCCUAGGUCGGAUUAGSUAGUUGGKGAGGUAAUGGCUCACCAAGGCGRCGAUCCGUAACUGGUCUGAGAGGAUGAUCAGUCACWCUGGAACUGAGACACGGUCCAGAYUCYUACGGGAGGCAGCAGUGGGGAAUAUUGGACAAUGGGCGAAAGCCUGAUCCARCCAUGCCGCGUGUGUGAAGAAGGUCUUCGGAUUGUAAAGCACUUUAAGUUGGGAGGAAGGGCWGUUGMYUAAUACUYWGCWGUUUUGRCGUUACCGACAGAAUAAGCACCGGCUAACUCUGUGCCAGCAGCCGCGGUAAUACAGAGGGUGCAAGCGUUAAUCGGAAUUACUGGGCGUAAAGCGCGCGUAGGUGGUUWGUUAAGUUGGAUGUGAAAUCCCCGGGCUCAACCUGGGAACUGCAUUCAAAACUGACUGACUAGAGUAUGGUAGAGGGUGGUGGAAUUUCCUGUGUAGCGGUGAAAUGCGUAGAUAUAGGAAGGAACACCAGUGGCGAAGGSGRCCACCUGGACUAAUACUGACACUGAGGUCGAAAGCGUGGGGAGCAAACAGGAUUAGAURCCCUGGUAGUCCACKCCGUAARCGAAUCRRCUAGCCKUUGGGAGCCUUGARCUCUUAGUUGCGCAGCYAACGCCAUUAAAGUUGWUCCCCKC